RNAcentral lists this ribosomal RNA (396 nucleotides) under Actinomyces sp. oral taxon 171. RNAcentral's name for it is "bacterial SSU rRNA". It matches the Rfam family "Bacterial small subunit ribosomal RNA", at positions 366 to 759 of the family's 1533-position model. The record is from RNAcentral. Lineage: Bacteria; Bacillati; Actinomycetota; Actinomycetes; Actinomycetales; Actinomycetaceae.
GCACAAUGGGCGCAAGCCUGAUGCAGCGACGCCGCGUGAGGGAUGGAGGCCUUCGGGUUGUAAACCUCUUUCGCCAGUGAAGCAGGCCUGCUCCCUGUGGGUGGGUUGACGGUAGCUGGAUAAGAAGCGCCGGCUAACUACGUGCCAGCAGCCGCGGUAAUACGUAGGGCGCGAGCGUUGUCCGGAAUUAUUGGGCGUAAAGAGCUCGUAGGCGGCUGGUCGCGUCUGUCGUGAAAUCCUCUGGCUUAACUGGGGGCUUGCGGUGGGUACGGGCCGGCUUGAGUGCGGUAGGGGAGACUGGAACUCCUGGUGUAGCGGUGGAAUGCGCAGAUAUCAGGAAGAACACCGGUGGCGAAGGCGGGUCUCUGGGCCGUUACUGACGCUGAGGAGCGAAAG